UGGGGAAUAUUGCACAAUGGGGGAAACCCUGAUGCAGCGACGCCGCGUGAGCGAAGAAGGUUUUCGAAUCGUAAAGCUCUGUCCUAUGGGAAGAUAAUGACGGUACCAUAGGAGGAAGCCCCGGCUAACUACGUGCCAGCAGCCGCGGUAAUACGUAGGGGGCAAGCGUUGUCCGGAAUCACUGGGCGUAAAGGGUUCGCAGGCGGAAAUGCAAGUUGGAUGUGAAAUAUUGUGGCUCAACCACAAACGUGCAUCCAAAACUGCAAAGCUUGAGUUAAGGAGAGGUAAGUGGAAUUCCUGGUGUAGCGGUGGAAUGCGUAGAUAUCAGGAGGAAUACCGGUGGCGAAGGCGACUUACUGGACUUAAACUGACGCUCAGGCACGAAAGCGUGGGGAGCAAACAGG
This 404-nucleotide ribosomal RNA is filed under the name Fusobacteriota bacterium. Its description in RNAcentral is "Fusobacteria bacterium partial 16S ribosomal RNA". It matches the Rfam family "Bacterial small subunit ribosomal RNA", at positions 355 to 776 of the family's 1533-position model. The record is from RNAcentral. Lineage: Bacteria; Fusobacteriati; Fusobacteriota.